RNAcentral lists this ribosomal RNA (213 nucleotides) under uncultured Hypocreales. RNAcentral's name for it is "partial 28S ribosomal RNA". It matches the Rfam family "Eukaryotic large subunit ribosomal RNA", at positions 64 to 283 of the family's 3401-position model. The record is from RNAcentral. Lineage: Eukaryota; Fungi; Ascomycota; Sordariomycetes; Hypocreales.
ACCCCAGGUGAUGCGCUAGUACGGCGAGUGGGCGGCAACAGCUCAAAUUUGAAAUCUGGCUCUCGGGCCCGAGUUGUAAUUUGUAGAGGAUACUUUUGAUGCGGUGCCUUCCGAGUUCCCUGGAACGGGACGCCAUAGAGGGUGAGAGCCCCGUCUGGUUGGAUGCCAAAUCUCUGUAAAGUUCCUUCGACGAGUCGAGUUGUUUGGGAAUAA